This 354-nucleotide ribosomal RNA is filed under the name uncultured bacterium. Its description in RNAcentral is "partial 16S ribosomal RNA". It matches the Rfam family "Bacterial small subunit ribosomal RNA", at positions 338 to 708 of the family's 1533-position model. The record is from RNAcentral.
CCUACGGGAGGCUGCAGUGGGGAAUAUUGCACAAUGGGGGAAACCCUGAUGCAGCAACGCCGCGUGAGUGAAGAAGUAUUUCGGUAUGUAAAGCUCUAUCAGCAGGGAAGAAGAAAGACGGUACCUGACUAAGAAGCCCCGGCUAACUACGUGCCAGCAGCCGCGGUAAUACGGAGGGGGCAAGCGUUAUCCGGAUUUACUGGGUGGAAAGGGAGCGUAGACGGCUGUGCAAGUCUGAUGUGAAAUCCCGUGGCUUAACCGCGGAACUGCAUUGGAAACUGUAUAGCUAGAGUAUGGGAGAGGUAGGGGGAAUUCUUAGUGUAGGGGUAAAAUGCGUAGAGAUUAAGAGGAACA